GAUCAAGCGACUAAGGGCACACGGUGGAUGUCUUGGCGUUGAGAGGCGAUGAAGGACGUGGGAACCUGCGAUAAGCCCAGAGGAGCUGGUAACCGAGCUUUGAUCCUGGGAUCUCCGAAUGGGGCAACCCGGCCCGCUUGCGGGUCACUUACACCUGAAUGCAUAGGGUGUGAGGGCGAACCCGGCGAACUGAAACAUCUCAGUAGCCGGAGGAAAAGAAAGCAAAAUGCGAUUCCGUCAGUAGCGGCGAGCGAAAUCGGAACAGCCUAAACCGGACUUCGGUCCGGGGUUCGGGCACCAACAUGGCACUUCAGAACGGGCGGUGAAUCAUCUGGAAAGUUGAACCGCAGAAGGUGACAGUCCUGUAGCAGUCUGUGACGAAGGCCUAGGUGUUCCAGAGUAGCACGGAGCUCGUGGAACUCUGUGCGAAUAUGCGGGGUCCACCCCGUAAGGCUAAAUACUCCUCAACGACCGAUAGUGAACCAGUAAGGCGACUGAACGAUGAAAAGCACCCCGAUAAGGGGAGUUAAAAGUACCUGAAACCGUGUGCUUACAAGCUGUGGGAGCCUGGGUGUCCUUCGGGACACAGCGGGUGACCGCGUGCCUUUUGCAUAAUGAGCCGACGAGUUGCUCUCUGCGGCAAGGUUAAGCUGGAUCCCAGUGGAGCCGAAGGGAAACCGAGCCUUAAACGGGCGUCGAGUCGCAGGGAGCAGACGCGAAACCGGGUGAUCUACCCAUGGGCAGGUUGAAGGACGGGUAACACCGUCUGGAGGACCGAACACACUAACGUUGAAAAGUUAGGUGAUGACCUGUGGGGAGGAGUAAAAGUCUAAUCAUACCCGGAGAUAUCUCGUUCUCCUCGAAAUAGCUUUAGGGCUAGCCUCACGUGACACCUCUUGGGGGUAGAGCGACUGGAUGGGGCUGGGGGGCCACAAGCCUACCCACCUCAACCAAACUCCGAAUACCAAGAGGCUCUGUCGUGGGAGUCAGUCUGCGGGAGAUAAUUUCCGCGGUCAAAAGGGAAACAGCCCAGACCGUCAGAUAAGGCCCCUAAACGAACCUAAGUUACUAAGGUAGUUGGAUUGCCGUGACAGCCAGGAUGUUGGCUUAGAAGCAGCCACCAUUUAAAGAGUGCGUAAUAGCUCACUGGUCGAGGAAUCCAGCGCCGAUAAUGAUCGGGAAUAAGGUUCGUGCCGAAUCUGCGGGCUUGCUUCGGCAAGCGGUAGAGGAGCGUUCCUGUCGGCUGUGAAGCCGUUCCGGAAGGAACGGUGGAGCGGCAGGAAGUGAAUAUGUCGGCUUGAGUAACGAUAAACGGAGUGAGAAUCUCCGUCGCCGAAAGCCUAAGGUUUCCUGGGGAAGGUAAAUCCGCCCAGGGUUAGGCGGGUCCUAAGGCGAGGCCGAAAGGCGUAGUCGAUGGA
RNAcentral lists this ribosomal RNA (1418 nucleotides) under Rhodothermales bacterium. Its description in RNAcentral is "partial 23S ribosomal RNA". It matches the Rfam family "Bacterial large subunit ribosomal RNA", at positions 1 to 1422 of the family's 2925-position model. The record is from RNAcentral. Lineage: Bacteria; Pseudomonadati; Rhodothermota; Rhodothermia; Rhodothermales.